ACGGAGGGUGCAAGCGUUGUCCGGAAUUAUUGGGCGUAAAGGGUUCGUAGGUGGUAUGUUAAGUCUGGUGUUAAAUCCCGAAGCUCAACUUCGGUCCGGCAUUGGAUACUGGCAAACUUGAAUGUGGUAGAGGUAAAGGGAAUUCCUGGUGUAGCGGUGAAAUGCGUAGAUAUCAGGAGGAACAUCGGUGGCGAAGGCGCUUUACUGGGCUAUUAUUGACGCUGAGGAACGAAAGCCUGGGUAGCAAAUGG
Molecule: ribosomal RNA, 251 nt
Filed under: uncultured prokaryote
Description: partial 16S rRNA
Rfam family: Bacterial small subunit ribosomal RNA
Source: RNAcentral